CGAAAACCCUUGACGGAACAAAGACCGGCGUGAAGGGAGGAAGCUUCUUAGGUUUGUAAACCUCUUUUAUCAGGGAAGAAGCUCUGGACCGGUACCUGAGGAAUCAGCAUCGGCUUACUCCGUGCCGGCAGCCGCGGUAAUACGGGAAGGAAUCCAAGCGUUACCCGGAAUCAUUGGGCGUAAAAGCGUCCGCAGGUGGGAGUUCAAGUCGAUUGUCAAAGGCAGUAGCUUAACUACUGAAAGGCAGUGGAAACUGAACAACUAGAGUCCGUUAGGGUUAGAGGGAAUUCCCGGUGUAGCGGUGAAAUGCGUAGAGAUCGGGAAGAACACCAGUGGCGAAAGCGCUCUGCUGGACCGGCACUGACACUGAGGGACGAAAGCUAAGGGGAGCG
This 392-nucleotide ribosomal RNA is filed under the name uncultured cyanobacterium. RNAcentral's name for it is "bacterial SSU rRNA". It matches the Rfam family "Bacterial small subunit ribosomal RNA", at positions 374 to 770 of the family's 1533-position model. Lineage: Bacteria; Bacillati; Cyanobacteriota. The record is from RNAcentral.